ACCUGGUGCUCAGACUCUGGAGGUGACUCCUCUGAGCCCCCACCAGUGCUAUUCCGCAUCUCUGAGUGCCGCUUGUCUCUUUCCGCUGCCACAGUUUCUGCAACAAUUUCUGGCAUGUUGGCAUAUUGGCCAGGAAGCCGACAACCAAGCUGGCCCCUGUGCCACCGUUGUCAGGGAAUUGGGGAAGGCCGAGGUCGCCAGCCCAGUGAGAGGCAGAUAGCACAUGCCCGGCCAUUUUGCAGGAUCUUAACUCUCACUUGGGCCAUCCCGACCCGACUCACACCGCUUCCCAAAGGGACUAAGAAGGAAGAAGGGAAACAGGUUCCAGGAUGGGGCGCCAAACUGGUAUCAGAAAAUUCAACCCAAAUUGUCUUAAGGAAAAAACUGGGGUGACUUAUGUAUACUGACCCAUGUACCUGAACAGCUUUGAAGAGUGGCAGGACGUAAUACUGGCUUCAAGUACAGCUGGAUACAGGCUCAAUUUCUCUUCCUCUCUUUCUCCCAGAGAUUUCCUUAGCUGCAAGGAAGCCUGGGAGAACGUUUAUCUGGCAUUUUCAUCUUCAGGAGUGGAGACCUGUCUACCUCAUAAUUUGAAAGAUCCAUCUACAGCAGGUCAGCAUAAGCUGCUCUAAAGAGACUGCUAUAAACCGUGACCUUGGAACAUCUCCCUCUUGCAGCACUUUUGGUUGGGUGAUCAAGCAUCCACCUCCACUUAUCUUCUCUUGUCUUCUCUCCACAAGUGAGACUGGAAAAAAUUCAUCUCUUGUCUGGUUUCUCACAUGGACAAGUCUGGCCAUAGAUGUUAGCCAACGAAGCAUAGCCUCAGGUUUCUAGGAAAGAGAGGAGAGAGUGCUCUGACCUUCGGCUCCUCUUCUGCCUCAUACCCAUGCAUUGCUGACAUUCCAUCUGGAGCUGUAGAUCCCAUUUUGACAUCAUGAGAAGAAAGAUGUGAGACUAAAGGGCAGCCGAAGUAAGAAGGAUGAUGCUACAUCCCUGGCGGUGUUCAUGAGCCGUUGAACCGAUGCUGCUACCACCCAUCCCAUCCCCUCCAGACGUCUUGUUAUAAAAGGCAAAUGAAACCCUAUUCGACUAAGCCAUCUUUAAGGUAGAGUUAAGGUAACUUACAGCCAAUCUUCUACUACAACUAAAACAUGUGGCAUCUCAAAAUAGAUACUAAAAAAACCACCCAAGGCAGCAGCACAGUGGUUUAGCACCCCGAGAGGUAGUUUCUCUGAGCUAUUCCUCCACCUCCAUCUCAGCACUCAGCCUGAAGCUGCUGCCCAAAGAACAACAGCCCUUGUGACCUAGAAGGAAACAAGGAGCUCUUUGCCCCCACAGUCCUGGCAGCUGGGUCAGAGCUGGAAAUGCAGUCACAGAAAGCAAUGGUGUGACAUGUAAGGCGCUAAGAGACAGAGGGAGCUUGCAGAAUGCCUUGGCGCUCUUCAAGGAAGAUCUGGAAGGGAAGAGUGGAUUAAGCAUAAGUGAUGAGGAUCAGCCUGUGAUGUAUCUUUUCAUCAGCGUGUCCCCAACCAGAUGCUCAGACAAGUGUACUCUGGGGUGUACUUAUUACAGGAAAGGCAUGAAACAAUUUGAAAUGCUACUGCCUUAAGGAAGGGUUGGCUGUCUCCAUGUCAUGGAGCAAGGCCAGUCAAGACUUAGCAAAGCAGUGCCCAUAUAAAAAUUACGAAACUAAAUUCUGCAAAGCAUAAGUGGUUACCAAAAUGGUAUCUAAAACCCUGGAAUGAACUUGCGUCCAACAGAGCCUUCACAGAGCACUGAGUAAAGGGCUUAAUGUUAAUGAAAAAUAUGAGAAUUUGGAGGAGGAUACAGGAAAAACAAUCAAGAUGACCAGGUUUGGAAAACAUCUAAUUUUUAAAAGGCGAAAAGAAUUGUGCCUUCUGUGCCCUGAGAAAAGAGGAAAGCCAUGAUGUGAUUUUAAUAAUCAUCUCUAAGAUUAUGAUGUGCUGUUAUAAUCAAAUCAGAAUGAUAUUCAAUCCCAUUUGUUUUUUCUUGGGAGUCGACUUCAUAACAUCACUUUGGGAGUUUCCAUUGUGGUUCAGCAGUAACAAACCCAACUAGUAUUCAUGAGGACUCAGGUUUGAUCCCUGGCCUCGCUCAGUGGGUUAAGGAUCCUGUGUUGAUGUGGCUGUGGUGCAGGCCAGCAGCUGCAACUCCAAUUUGAGCCCUCGCCUGGGAACUUCCAUAUGCCAUGGCUGUGACCCUACAACAAACAAACAAACAAAAAACAUAACAGCAUCACUUUGGUGCACAUCUGUUCUCAAUUUGCCUCCUCAGGAAAAUUAGCCUCACCUCCCUUGGUAAAAAGGGACUCACCAAGAUGUGAUGAAAUCUGCUUAUCUUAUGUAUUGGAAAGUUUCCAAGAAAUUGGUCCUGUGUUUCUAAGCAGUCCUACUUUACUGAAGAGCGAGGGUAACCAUGUUUUGUGUGCUUUGCACCCAUGAGGACAGAAAUGUGAAGGGGAAGGAAUAGUGUGAAAACAGGGAGGGGCUGGCGGGGAAGAUGGAGAGAUAGCUGCACAGCUGACACCAUCCCUGACCCAUCUCACAGCAGACCCGGGGCUGGGAUGCGUGAGCCCAGAAGGGACAGCCCACAAAGGUCUGGAAUCCCCACACAACUAACUCUAGCACCGUGGUAGCCUGGUGACAACUCAGCAGAGCCCACAGGUCUGGAAACGGAUAUCUGCCCAAACCUCAGCAUUCCUCCUGGUGGGCUGCCAACCAUCAAGUGAGUGCGACUGAGUGUCCUUGGCUUUGAGUCCACACACGCCAACAAUUUCAUCUCCCCUUGAGGCUUGGUGCCCAUCAUGUCCCAGGGCUUUGGCCUUGAGGGCAUCCUGGAUGGGCUGGGAACACCUGCUGUCCAUGACCUUG
This 2891-nucleotide long non-coding RNA is filed under the name Sus scrofa (pig). RNAcentral's name for it is "lncRNA (ENSSSCG00050002901.1)". Lineage: Eukaryota; Metazoa; Chordata; Mammalia; Artiodactyla; Suidae. The record is from RNAcentral.